UACGGGGGGGACAAGCGUUGUUCGGAAUUACUGGGCGUAAAGGGCGCGUAGGCGGUUGGAUAAGUCAGCUGUGAAAACCACGAGCUCAACUUGUGGCCUGCAGUUGAAACUGUCUGGCUAGAGUGUGGGAGAGGGAAGUGGAAUUCCUGGUGUAGCGGUGAAAUGCGUAGAUAUCAGGAGGAACACCGGUGGCGAAGGCGGCUUCCUGGACCACAACUGACGCUGAGGCGCGAAAGCUAGGGGAGCAAACAGG
RNAcentral lists this ribosomal RNA (253 nucleotides) under uncultured bacterium. RNAcentral's name for it is "partial 16S ribosomal RNA". It matches the Rfam family "Bacterial small subunit ribosomal RNA", at positions 524 to 776 of the family's 1533-position model. The record is from RNAcentral.